AAGUCGUAACAAGGUUUCCGUAGGUGAACCUGCGGAAGGAUCAUUAAAGUAUUCUUCUCGGGAGGGAGGCCAGCCCUGCUCCGGUCCCCAAAAGGGGCCGUGCAGCGGGCGAGCCGACCGACCGACCGAAAACCCCCACAAACCCCCCGUGCACUUUCCGACGGUGGAGGGAGACUGGGCGAGAGCUCGGGAUCCUGAACCCGUCGACACACAAACCCCUCUGUCAAAGAAUGAUGUUGCGAACCUUGCGUCGCCUAACUUAACGAAACAACUUUCAACAACGGAUCUCUUGGCUCUC
RNAcentral lists this unclassified non-coding RNA (298 nucleotides) under air metagenome. Its description in RNAcentral is "partial contains small subunit ribosomal RNA, internal transcribed spacer 1, and 5.8S ribosomal RNA". The stretch from base 1 to 46 matches the Rfam family "Eukaryotic small subunit ribosomal RNA", at positions 1786 to 1831 of the family's 1831-position model. The record is from RNAcentral.